UAUAUAGGUCCGAUAAUGUCUUUGUCAGAGACAUUCCUGUUAUCAUUCAUCCAAUCUCAUAAAUGUAUACAUAUAAUGGAAAACAGGAAACACCAGAAACAUGUUCAAUUAUCGAGCUCAGAGUGUCAAGCACAAUAUUAUCAUUAAACAAAUUCUCAUAAAAAAAAUUAAAAAAUGACAAUCAUCAUGGACUACGACCAAGACCCAUU
RNAcentral lists this long non-coding RNA (209 nucleotides) under Malus domestica (apple). RNAcentral describes it as "long non-coding RNA (MDOM_LNC012208)". The record is from RNAcentral. Lineage: Eukaryota; Viridiplantae; Streptophyta; Magnoliopsida; Rosales; Rosaceae.